Molecule: small RNA, 255 nt
Filed under: Drosophila guanche
Lineage: Eukaryota; Metazoa; Arthropoda; Insecta; Diptera; Drosophilidae
Source: RNAcentral
GUGUAGUGGCAGAAGCGCUGCUGUUGGUGCCAUUGCUGCUGCUGUUGGGAUAGACACUUGGCUGUGCUCCUGGCUGCUGUUCUGUUGGCAGCUGCAAUGGCUGCUGCUGCUGCUGCUGCUGCUGCUGAAACUGUUGUCCAUAUCCCUGCUGAAAUUGUUGCUGAUGCAGCUGCUGAUGCUGAUGCUGUUGCUGUUGCAGCUGCUGUGGCGUCUGCAGCUCCAGCAGUUGUGCCGGCUCCGCUGGCGAAUACUGUU